UACGUAGGGUGCAAGCGUUGUCCGGAAUUAUUGGGCGUAAAGAGCUCGUAGGCGGUUUGUCGCGUCUGCUGUGAAAACCCGAGGCUCAACCUCGGGCCUGCAGUGGGUACGGGCAGACUAGAGUGCGGUAGGGGAGAUUGGAAUUCCUGGUGUAGCGGUGGAAUGCGCAGAUAUCGGGAGGAACACCGGUGGCGAAGGCGGUUCUCUGGGCCUGUACUGACGCUGAGGCACGAAAGCGUGGGGAGCAAACAGG
This 253-nucleotide ribosomal RNA is filed under the name uncultured bacterium. Its description in RNAcentral is "partial 16S ribosomal RNA". It matches the Rfam family "Bacterial small subunit ribosomal RNA", at positions 524 to 776 of the family's 1533-position model. The record is from RNAcentral.